GAACGUCUUACGGGUUUUCGGACCCGCAAGGAGUGGCGGACGGGUGAGUAACACAUGGGUGACCUACCCCCNGGGUGAGGGAUACCGGCGAGAAAUCGCCGACAAGCCCGCAUAGGCUGGCUCUGGUGGAGCGGAGCGAGCAAAGUUUGUCGCGAGACAGACGCCAGGGGAUGGGCCUGUGGCCGAUUAGCUGGUUGGUGGGGUAAGAGCCUACCAAGGCUGCGAUCGGUAGCUGGUCUGAGAGGACGGACAGCCACACUGGGAUUGAGAACGGCCCAGACUCCUACGGGGGGCAGCAGUGAGGAAUUUUCCGCAAUGGGCUCGAGGCCUGACGGAGCAACGCCGCGUGCAGGAGGACGCUUUUCGGAGUGUAAACUGCUUUUCUGUGGGACGAGUGAGGACGGUACCACAGGAAGAAGCCCCGGCUAACUACGUG
RNAcentral lists this ribosomal RNA (436 nucleotides) under uncultured bacterium. Its description in RNAcentral is "bacterial SSU rRNA". It matches the Rfam family "Bacterial small subunit ribosomal RNA", at positions 64 to 507 of the family's 1533-position model. The record is from RNAcentral.